This 5459-nucleotide long non-coding RNA is filed under the name Monomorium pharaonis (pharaoh ant). Its description in RNAcentral is "uncharacterized LOC114254239, transcript variant X2". The record is from RNAcentral. Lineage: Eukaryota; Metazoa; Arthropoda; Insecta; Hymenoptera; Formicidae.
UACAAUAAAUGAUUUAAUUUCAGUUAUAUGUUACGUGUAAAACGUCCUCUGCCCCUCUCUCUCUCUCUCUCUCUCUCUCUCUCUCUCUCUUCCUCUUUUUCUCGCGCGCCUUACAUUUCAACGACAAAUUCUUUAGUAAACGUGAAGACGAUUUUUCCUUAGCGAAAACGUCGGGGCACAAGCAAUUUCUGAGUUAGGAGCGAUUGAAGCGAGAAGCUUUUCUGCAAACACUUUCCUUCUUUAAGUUUCAACAAGCCAAUUCUGUAACUAAUUUCUCAGAUGAAAUCUAUUUUGGUAGAACUUCAAUUUGCCAUUUAUUUGUGAGAUAUGCGAAGUUAAAGAUCGAACAAUUAAGCAAUAAAUUCUAUUUUAUUUUCAUGGAUAUUUUGCCAUCAAAUAUCGAUUAAAAAGUUUGUCGUGAAAAAAACCAUGCGAGGGAAAUAAGACAUUAUAUGUUAUUAUUGUCGCAUCUCGAUAAGUAAACUGAAUAUCUAAUUUCUAAUAAAUUACAUAACGUAUUCACCUAAUUAGAAUUAAUUCGCUACAUCACUAGACUUUCACAAGGCAGUAAACUGCAUCGUACCGUCGCUAUUAUAUCUUUUGAAACACAAUUACUCUCCACGAAUUACUAGAUUAUCUGUCUGAUUUAAUUAAUUUCUAUGAUUCACGAUUCGAUGAACAUACCUACUCGAUGGACAUUUAUAAAAAAAGAUUCGUAACAAUUUAUCAAAGAAUAAUUUACGCGAGUUAAUUAUUAUGUGUGUGAUACGAGAAUUGCAACAGAAGGAUAGAAGAACAAUUAAAAUGAUGGUUUUAUUCCAAUAAUUAAUUCGCGAUAAUCGUUUCUUUAGUAAUUAAAUUGGAAUGUAAUUUGUAAUAUUUAAAUGCCGAGGUUUAAAUACUCAUAUUAUUUAUUAUAUUUGAGACUACACGUGUCCCUUGACAUUUACAAAUAAACUCUAUAUACAAAUUAACACACAAUUAUUUUAAGUUUUCGAAAUACCCCCUCGUCCGAUAUUAAUUGUUAAGCGAGAGUCAAAGAACGAAACUACGGAGCAGCGUAAAAUGCGUUACGACAGUCCGUGCGUAGAAGACACUCGAAAUAACCGAAUAUUACUUUAUUACAGCGCGAGUUAUCGAACGUAGUCAGGGUCGCGUACGCACGGUUGUGUACGCGCCGCAAGGUCACCGCGCUUCGCAUUCGCGCGGCGAGCCUCGAACCGGACGGCCGCUCCGUGCGUCGCGUCAUUACCGCCUGACUUGCACCGCCCCCCGCUCCGUGGACAUGGCCCCGUGAACAUGGAUCGACCGAUGCUCGCGAUCUGCGUCUCCAGGACGAAGGUAACGCGGGUAUACUAUGUCGCGGGCGUGCGACUCCCGUCGUUCGAGGAAACGUCGAAGCGACGACGACCGAGAGCCACGAGUUACGUCGUCCCGUGCUGGAAAUCCGAGCCGGAGAUUAUUGAAUCAUGAGUGACGGCAUUUAGCGCGAGCCUCCGUACGUUUCGCUCGUACGUUUCGGACUGAAAGCUGAGAUUUCGGCGAAAGUAGAUUCAUCGGGUCGUCGAGCAAGACGAGCUGAGCGAAACGAAGAAACGUGAUGUGGUACGUCGACCGUCCCUUGGUAAUGCGUACGUUCGAUUCGGGACCUGCAAGUUCCAAGUAUCUCGCGCGUAUUUGACGCAUCUUGGUUAGGUGUGAAGUGGCUCGCGUUUCCGCGCGCGGCAUCGCUGUGAAGUUAUCACCGUCGUCAUAUUGUCCGGCUAGCGAUGGAAGGACGCGGGCACGCGACGGAUCGACUCCGAGCUGUGCGACGUCGUGACGCGUCUACGUGGCGAGUGCGAUCGCGAACAGACACCCGCGUGUCCUCGGUUGUCGCGCACGAACGUGAUCUCUGAGAAGGCGCGAGGAGAGCCCGGGAGUCGGACGGGAAUUCUUUGCGACAGAGCGACACGGAUCGCGCGGGUAUUCGCUCUUGGCUCGCGUUCUACGCGUGCCAUCGCGUCGCGAUGCACGAGUCGGCCUGAAACACACGCGUCCCGUUUAUCCAUUCCAGGCGCGGCAAUUUUCCGAAUUGAAGGCAGGACGCAACAGGUGCAGGCAGCGUCGCUGGCCGCGCGCGGAUUUCCGGACGCUCUCCCGUCUCUCUCGUCCCGCCCCCCGCGCCAUUACAACUCGCCGAUACGUUUCGCGCGAAUUCGUGGAGUGUGUGAUAUCGCGGGCGACAUCGGCGAGGUGCUUUCUUCCGCGUUGUUGUUCCGUCGUGGCGAUGUGAAGGGAGGCGACCGGCGGUGAAAGUGCCGCGUAAAAAGAAAGGAAUUGUCAAGUUUCCUGAUGUUCGAAUUCGCGUGAAGAAAAAAAUUAUGCAAUAAUUCAUAUUUCGCAUCUCGAGUAUAAUCUCGGUUUCGGGAGUCAGCCGUGCAAAAUAUCGCGUUCGUAUUACGCUGGAGAUUAACUCAAACGGGAUUUGUAAUUCUAGUGUGUCAAGAUUCUCGAGUGAGUGUGUAACUGAUUAUCCGAGAACGAGAUUCAAAGAAUUCUGAGAGGAUGAGAAGCAGAAGGCGGACGAGGAGAAGGACCGGGAUCGACAUCGUACGACGGUGGAGCAACCUUGAGGUUUACGUAGCUACAAUGCAGUUACAACUCCACUGUUGCGCAUCGUACUUACGGUUGCUGCAAAUUUAUGACAAGGUGGCAAAAGUUUCGCAAACGACGCGGCGUGAUCCACGAUGCUGUCGCGCGUCGGCGUGCUUUCGGCGAGGGAUACGGCUUGGAAACUUGGUGCGAGAAAUUUGAUCUCAUCUCGCAACAUCGAUUCCAUCGAUCGCGUGGCGAUCGCGACCGGUUAGCCAAUGGAUACUAAAAGCACGACCGGUGAAGGAAGAGAGAAGGAAUGAGAGAGAGGGAGAGAGAGAGAGAGCUCGCCGGAGAAGUCAUUGGCAGCCUGAAUCGUCUUCGGCUCUCGAAGACUUUAGACUCGCUCCGUUAGAUAAUGCGGCCGCCGUCGUAUCGGCCAGACUACCCGGCCAAGUUCUUGUUCCUUCCGUAUAUACUCCGGCGCCGGCGAAAUUCCCAAAAUUACCGGCAUUACUGCGGACAAAGGCCGGAAAUCCCGAGUUCCGAUCCUGCAACGCGUAAGGACCGUCGCCCACACCGAGCACCGGCGGCGUCUCUUCAUUAAUUGUAUUAAUUGGUCCACCAAACCGCGAUAAAAAGUACUCUUAUAAUUCAACGUCAACAUUUAUGGCAAGGGAACAAAGGACGCGCUGGCUCGAGCUUCAACCGGAAAUCAAAUUACUGCUGGCUAAUUAGCGUCGGUGAAACUGGAACGUAUAGCGGAUAAUAAAACCAAGAUUGGACUCGCCAGGCAUGACGGGAGCGAUCGGCCAAACCCGGUAGAUAUGACUACACUCCAGUGGAUGUAUAAAAUGUUCAGGAGUCGCGGCAGCCAAUAGCAGCUCGCGUCUCGUAAUUAAUCACAGUGUCGUAACGGAACUCCAGUAUCGAAAAUCGUUUCGAGUCGUCCGAGCUACGAGUCAUGAAAUAUUUAAACCUCAAUGCUGAGCGACCACCGUGGAUAAUCGUAAUGCUAUUUUCAGCACGCCUGCCUGUAUCGCGGUAGCGGAAUAGUGUCGGGAUUGAUGUGUCGCGAAAUGAUGAGAAAUUUGCCGCGAAUUACCUAAAAGUCGUCUCAAUAAUAAACCGCCGGACCUUCUCGUAUGCACCGUCACGCGCGCGUAUACAUGCACUACUAGUGGUACACUAUAUGCCGCCACCGGCGUACGGCGGCGAAAUGGUAGUCUCUCAAGCCUGUAUCCAUCGCCAUUAAAUUAAUAACCGUGCUAUCCGCGUGUACCGAACUCCUCCGAAAUAUCGCCCGACGCCCUCCGGGCCCCGGUUCAUCCGCGCCCAGCGCGCCUUCUCCCGCGGCCCAUAUACAAUCCGCCAUGUAUCCCGCAUAUAUGGAUUUCGCGUGCACGCGCACGCACAGCCGAAUACGUGCGGGCGACGAGCGGAAUUCGGAAUGUGCGAGGGAUUGCGCGAAGAGAGGGAGAUAGAGAGAGAGAGAGAGAGAGAGAGAGAGAGAGAGAGAGAGAUAGAAAGAGAGAAGGACACAGAGAGCAAGAGAGUCGCGUGUCUCUCAUCAAAGGGAGAAUCACAAUGCCAGAGCGAGCCCGUAUCGUCAGACCGGCCAACACGAACGAUAACAAUCAGUGCGCUAAAAUGCAUCGGAAUUGAAUCUGGGGCGAUUCAUUUUCACACCGGGCCGGUCCAGGCCGAUCAACUCGUUCAGCGCCGUGAUGCUUUUUCGAUCAAAGAUCUGCUCUUCCAAGGAAUACCGAGUAAAACAGGUUACUACCAGCUGUAUCAGUCGCGCGGGGCGGUUUUCAUUUUUUUCAAGAAUUCUGAAAUAUUCCUUAAUAUUUGUACGGAAAUAAAAUAAAAUCGUUGAAUCGGCGAUUAAAAUCUGCGCAAGUUGAUUGUUUGAAGUGAGAACUUGAGAAAAGACACUUUUCCUGCAAAUUCGAGCUCUUCUCUUCUUAAUUAGUUCGCUAAUUCGAUCGAACGGCAGGUUGAUUAUCGACAGCUCGAUUUCGUACUAUUUAUUUCGCGGCUUCGUCAAUCUCCAUGCAUUAAUUAUUUCGAGAAUCAUCACCUGUCGCCGCGUGCGAGAAUGUCCAUCGCGCCGGUAGAGAUAUUUCCGUGCGUCAGCAUGAUGCGAAGCUUAUGUCGGUUCCAAUGCGUGGCAUUGAUAGGCCAGGCCAUUUUAAUUUCGAUCGCGCCGUAUCGACCAAUACGCGUCGCGGCAUAAUUCCGCAUGUCGUAAAAGUCCAAACGGGAUUCGAUCCGCCGUUAUUCACGACGAAGUGAUUUCGUCCUAGCUAACUCGCAACACGAACUUCCACUGUAAUUAAAUAUCCGCGUGUCCUUUGACUGCUUCAUUAGCGCAUUACUUGUUAUUCGUCGCGCUAGCGAUUGCACCUCGUAAAAGAGGCAAAUAGUAACCAGUCGGGGAAUAUAUCGACGGCAAAUCUCGUUGCCGACAUCGAGGUACAAUCGAAGAGUAUAAAAUUGAAUAGCGUGAUUUAAAAACGCGUCCGUCCAUUUGUGUGCGAAUUAAACAAAUUUUCACGUAAUUCGAAACGAAAUGUUUAACGUAUGAAGGAUAAAAUGAAAAGUAUAACGUUUCUAAUAACAAACAUUACGAAAAACAUAUUGAAUAAUGUAGUUUCGAAAAACGGCUAAUAAAAAUACGUGUGGAAGAGACAUUCUAACACACACACACACACACACACAAAAAUGUAUUAAUAUAUAACUAAUUUCGAAGAAUAAAGGCGAGAAUAUCGGUCGCAUAUUCCUCACUUAAUCUUUCAGAAUUUAAGCGCUAAUUUAAACUCUUGUCGAUAGGUCACUCGACCGCGCUGUAAGCCUUUGCUGAUGAACUACAUACCGUGUGC